Molecule: ribosomal RNA, 425 nt
Filed under: Alectorobius fonsecai
Lineage: Eukaryota; Metazoa; Arthropoda; Arachnida; Ixodida; Argasidae
Description: Ornithodoros fonsecai partial large subunit ribosomal RNA
Source: RNAcentral
GGUAUUUUGACUAUACGAAGGUAUUGAAAUAAGGCUUUAAUUGAGUGCUAAAAGAAUGGUUGAACAAGGAUUGGCUUUCUUUAAAAUCAUAAUAAAAGUUAAUUUAAAAAUGAAAAAGUUUUUAUUAAUUUUUGGGACAAGAAGACCCUAUGAAUUUUUAUUUAGAAAUUUUUUGAUGUUUUUAAUUGAAAAAAUUAAGAAAAAUUUAAAUUUAAUUGGGGUGAUUUUUAAAUAUAUGUAACUUUAAAAAUAGGAGUAAUUGGAACCAAAAAUUUUGGUUCUUUGAGUAAAAUACUCUAGGGAUAACAGCGUUAUUACUUUGGAUAGUUCAUAUAGAUAAAGUAGUUUGCGACCUCGAUGUUGGAUUAGGAUACUUAAGUAAUGAAGAAGUUACAUUAAGAAGUUUGCUCAACUUUUAAAAUCCU